GUAGCUGCUCUAAAAGUAAGUCAUAUGCAAAUGCUGCACAGUGCGUAGUGCCCCUAUUAGUUGAUGCAGCAUCCUACAAUCCUCAAUAGGGUGUCCAAAAUGAUGCAUGUAAGACCUACUUUGAUGCUUUGGGCACAGGCAUCAAGUUUUACCUUGAGACUCAGGUGUCAAAUAACAUGCACAAGCUAAUGUAAUCAUUUGACCUCAAAGGCUAGAAGCAAACCUGCAAAAUGUCUGUAUAAGGCACUGUGCUCUGAUAGUAAGAUGUUUGAAUUUGAUUAGCUAAAAAUUGGAUUUGACUUGUUAAACGUGAUGCUAGUUGCUUUUAUUAUGGGUUUCACAGCUGGUUUCAAGCAGAAAGGUUAUAAACUUAUGGGUCUUUCAGUUAUCCUGUCUAGCUUCCAUCUAAGCAUAGCCUAUUGUCAACUCAAAUCCUGAAAUCCAAUUAUGAUCAGCCAACAUAUGCAUGUUAAGCGAAUUUGAAUUACUAUUCUAGUGCACAAUUCUUGUUGAUUACUUACGGAAGAUUUCUGGUUUCUUGACAUGCAUUGCAGAAGCAACACCAAAGACUA
Molecule: unclassified non-coding RNA, 572 nt
Filed under: Hevea brasiliensis (rubber tree)
Lineage: Eukaryota; Viridiplantae; Streptophyta; Magnoliopsida; Malpighiales; Euphorbiaceae
Source: RNAcentral